UGGGGAAUAUUGCACAAUGGGCGCAAGCCUGAUGCAGCAACGCCGCGUGAAGGAAGACGGUUUUCGGAUUGUAAACUUCUGUUCUUAGUGAAGAAGAAUGACGGUAGCUAAGGAGCAAGCCACGGCUAACUACGUGCC
Molecule: ribosomal RNA, 138 nt
Filed under: uncultured bacterium
Lineage: Bacteria
Description: partial 16S ribosomal RNA
Rfam family: Bacterial small subunit ribosomal RNA
Source: RNAcentral